GAUGAGCAUGCGUCCCAUUAGCUAGUUGGUAAGGUAACGGCUUACCAAGGCUACGAUGGGUAGGGGUCCUGAGAGGGAGAUCCCCCACACUGGUACUGAGACACGGACCAGACUCCUACGGGAGGCAGCAGUGAGGAAUAUUGGACAAUGGGCGCAAGCCUGAUCCAGCCAUGCCGCGUGCAGGAUGACGGUCCUAUGGAUUGUAAACUGCUUUUAUACGAGAAGAAACACUCCGACGUGUCGGAGCUUGACGGUAUCGUAAGAAUAAGGAUCGGCUAACUCCGUGCCAGCAGCCGCG
RNAcentral lists this ribosomal RNA (298 nucleotides) under uncultured soil bacterium. RNAcentral describes it as "partial 16S ribosomal RNA". It matches the Rfam family "Bacterial small subunit ribosomal RNA", at positions 224 to 519 of the family's 1533-position model. The record is from RNAcentral.